This 365-nucleotide ribosomal RNA is filed under the name uncultured organism. Its description in RNAcentral is "bacterial SSU rRNA". It matches the Rfam family "Bacterial small subunit ribosomal RNA", at positions 526 to 896 of the family's 1533-position model. The record is from RNAcentral.
CGUAGGUGGCAAGCGUUGUCCGGAUUUAUUGGGUUUAAAGGGUGCGUAGGCGGCUUUGUAAGUCAGUGGUGAAAUACUCCAGCUCAACUGGAGAGGUGCCAUUGAUACUGCAGAGCUAGAGUACUGAUGAGGUAGGCGGAAUGGACGGUGUAGCGGUGAAAUGCUUAGAUAUCGUCCAGAACACCGAUAGCGAAGGCAGCUUACUAAAGAGUAACUGACGCUGAGGCACGAAAGUGUGGGGAUCAAACAGGAUUAGAUACCCUGGUAGUCCACACUGUAAACGUUGAUCACUAGAUGUUGGCGAUACACUGCCAGCGUUCCAGCAAAAGCGAUAAGUGAUCCACUGGGGAUACGCCGCAAGGGUG